AGUGAACGCUGGCGGUAGGCCUAACACAUGCAAGUCGAACGGCAGCACAGUAAGAGCUUGCUCUUACGGGUGGCGAGUGGCGGACGGGUGAGGAAUACAUCGGAAUCUACUUUUUCGUGGGGGAUAACGUAGGGAAACUUACGCUAAUACCGCAUACGACCUACGGGUGAAAGCAGGGGAUCUUCGGACCUUGCGCGAUUGAAUGAGCCGAUGUCGGAUUAGCUAGUUGGCGGGGUAAAGGCCCACCAAGGCGACGAUCCGUAGCUGGUGUGAGAGGAUGAUCACCCACACUGGAACGGAGACACGGUCCAUGCGCCUGCGGGAGGCAGCAGUGGGGAAUAUUGGACAAUGGGCGCAAGCCUUAUCCAGCCAUACCGCGUGGGUGAAGAAGGCCUUCGGGUUGUAAAGCCCUUUUGUUGGGAAAGAAAAGCAGCAGGUUAAUACCCCGCUGUUCUGACGGUACCCAAAGAAUAAGCACCGGCUAACUUCGUG
This 492-nucleotide ribosomal RNA is filed under the name uncultured bacterium. Its description in RNAcentral is "partial 16S ribosomal RNA". It matches the Rfam family "Bacterial small subunit ribosomal RNA", at positions 29 to 507 of the family's 1533-position model. The record is from RNAcentral.